Molecule: ribosomal RNA, 497 nt
Filed under: uncultured bacterium
Lineage: Bacteria
Description: partial 16S ribosomal RNA
Rfam family: Bacterial small subunit ribosomal RNA
Source: RNAcentral
GAUGAACGCUGGCGGCGUGCCUAAUACAUGCAAGUCGAGCGAACAGACGAGGAGCUUGCUCCUUCGACGUUAGCGGCGGACGGGUGAGUAACACGUAGGUAACCUACCUAUAAGACUGGGAUAACUUCGGGAAACCGGAGCUAAUACCGGAUAAUAUUUCGAACCGCAUGGUUCAAUAGUGAAAGAUGGCUUAGCUAUCACUUAUAGAUGGACCUGCGCCGUAUUAGCUAGUUGGUAAGGUAACGGCUUACCAAGGCAACGAUACGUAGCCGACCUGAGAGGGUGAUCGGCCACACUGGAACUGAGACACGGUCCAGACUCCUACGGGAGGCAGCAGUAGGGAAUCUUCCGCAAUGGGCGAAAGCCUGACGGAGCAACGCCGCGUGAGUGAUGAAGGUCUUCGGAUCGUAAAACUCUGUUAUUAGGGAAGAACAAACGUGUAAGUAACUGUGCACGUCUUGACGGUACCUAAUCAGAAAGCCACGGCUAACUACGUG